RNAcentral lists this ribosomal RNA (200 nucleotides) under uncultured bacterium. RNAcentral's name for it is "partial 16S ribosomal RNA". It matches the Rfam family "Bacterial small subunit ribosomal RNA", at positions 30 to 232 of the family's 1533-position model. The record is from RNAcentral.
AUUGAACGCUGGCGGCAUGCUUUACACAUGCAAGUCGAACGGCAGCGCGGGGCAACCUGGCGGCGAGUGGCGAACGGGUGAGUAAUAUAUCGGAACGUACCCAGAAGUGGGGGAUAACGUAGCGAAAGUUACGCUAAUACCGCAUACGAUCUACGGAUGAAAGUGGGGGAUCGCAAGACCUCAUGCUUUUGGAGCGGCCG